GGGGAAUAUUGCACAAUGGGGGAAACCCUGAUGCAGCAACGCCGCGUGAAGGAUGAAGGUUUUCGGAUUGUAAACUUCUUUAGUCAGGGACGAAUAAAUGACGGUACCUGAAGAAUAAGCCACGGCUAACUACGUGCCAGCAGCCGCGGUAAUACGUAGGUGGCGAGCGUUGUCCGGAAUUACUGGGUGUAAAGGGCGUGUAGGCGGGAAUGUAAGUCAGAUGUGAAAUCCCAGGGCUUAACUCUGGAGCUGCAUCUGAAACUAUGUUUCUUGAGUGUCGGAGAGGAAAGCGGAAUUCCUAGUGUAGCGGUGAAAUGCGUAGAUAUUAGGAGGAACACCAGUGGCGAAGGCGGCUUUCUGGACGAUAACUGACGCUGAGGCGCGAAAGCGUGGGGAGCAAACA
This 403-nucleotide ribosomal RNA is filed under the name uncultured Clostridium sp. RNAcentral describes it as "bacterial SSU rRNA". It matches the Rfam family "Bacterial small subunit ribosomal RNA", at positions 356 to 774 of the family's 1533-position model. Lineage: Bacteria; Bacillati; Bacillota; Clostridia; Eubacteriales; Clostridiaceae. The record is from RNAcentral.